RNAcentral lists this ribosomal RNA (497 nucleotides) under uncultured bacterium. Its description in RNAcentral is "partial 16S ribosomal RNA". It matches the Rfam family "Bacterial small subunit ribosomal RNA", at positions 28 to 507 of the family's 1533-position model. The record is from RNAcentral.
GAUGAACGCUGGCGGCGUGCCUAAUACAUGCAAGUCGAGCGAACAGACGAGGAGCUUGCUCCUCUGACGUUAGCGGCGGACGGGUGAGUAACACGUGGAUAACCUACCUAUAAGACUGGGAUAACUUCGGGAAACCGGAGCUAAUACCGGAUAAUAUAUUGAACCGCAUGGUUCAAUAGUGAAAGACGGUUUUGCUGUCACUUAUAGAUGGAUCCGCGCCGCAUUAGCUAGUUGGUAAGGUAACGUCUUACCAAGGCGACGAUGCGUAGCCGACCUGAGAGGGUGAUCGGCCACACUGGAACUGAGACACGGUCCAGACUCCUACGGGAGGCAGCAGUAGGGAAUCUUCCGCAAUGGGCGAAAGCCUGACGGAGCAACGCCGCGUGAGUGAUGAAGGUCUUCGGAUCGUAAAACUCUGUUAUUAGGGAAGAACAAAUGUGUAAGUAACUAUGCACGUCUUGACGGUACCUAAUCAGAAAGCCACGGCUAACUACGUG